Molecule: ribosomal RNA, 465 nt
Filed under: uncultured bacterium
Lineage: Bacteria
Description: partial 16S ribosomal RNA
Rfam family: Bacterial small subunit ribosomal RNA
Source: RNAcentral
GACGAACGCUGGCGGCGUGCUUAACACAUGCAAGUCGAACGGAAAGGCCCUGCUUGCAGGGUACUCGAGUGGCGAACGGGUGAGUAACACGUGGGUGAUCUGCCCUGCACUUCGGGAUAAGCCUGGGAAACUGGGUCUAAUACCGGAUAGGAGCCAUUUUUAGUGUGAUGGUUGGAAAGUUUUUUCGGUGUAGGGUGAGCUCGCGGCCUAUCAGCUUGUUGGUGGGGUAAUGGCCUACCAAGGCGGCGACGGGUAGCCGGCCUGCGGGGGUGGACGGCCACAGUGGGACUGAGAAACGGCCCAGACUCCUAAGGGAGGCAACAGUGGGGAAUAUUGCACAAUGGGCGCAAGCCUGAUGCAGGGAAGCCGCGUGGGGGAAGACGGCCUUCGGGGUGGAAACUCCUUUCGCUAGGGACGGAGCUUUUUGUGACGGUACCUAGAUAAGAAGCACCGGCUAACUACGUG